UUUUCCCUACUCCUCCCAUCCC
This 22-nucleotide microRNA is filed under the name Corchorus olitorius. RNAcentral describes it as "pab-miR48". Lineage: Eukaryota; Viridiplantae; Streptophyta; Magnoliopsida; Malvales; Malvaceae. The record is from RNAcentral.